AACGAACGCUGGCGGCGUGCCUAACACAUGCAAGUCGAGCGCGAAAAGGGCAACCUGAGUAGAGCGGCGCACGGGUGCGUAACACGUGGGUAAUCUGCCUCAAAGUUUGGGAUAACCUUCCGGAAAGGUUGGCUAAUACCGGAUAAGCUCACGAGGUCUUCGGGACUUUGUGGGAAAAGGUGGCCUCUAUUUAUAAGCCAUCACUUUGAGAUGAGCCCGCGGCCCAUCAGCUAGNGGCGGGGUAACGGCCCACCAAGGCUACGACGGGUAGCUGGUCUGAGAGGACGAGUCAGCCCAACACUGGAACUGAGACACGGUCCAGACUCCUACGGGA
This 334-nucleotide ribosomal RNA is filed under the name uncultured bacterium. RNAcentral describes it as "bacterial SSU rRNA". It matches the Rfam family "Bacterial small subunit ribosomal RNA", at positions 29 to 346 of the family's 1533-position model. The record is from RNAcentral.